Molecule: non-coding RNA, 1030 nt
Filed under: Gelatoporia subvermispora B
Lineage: Eukaryota; Fungi; Basidiomycota; Agaricomycetes; Polyporales; Gelatoporiaceae
Description: Eukaryotic large subunit ribosomal RNA
Rfam family: Eukaryotic large subunit ribosomal RNA
Source: Rfam by way of RNAcentral
GCUGGACCGUGUACAAGUCUCCUGGAACGGAGCGUCAUAGAGGGUGAGAAUCCCGUCUUUGACACGGACUACCAGUGCUCUGUGAUGCGCUCUCAAAGAGUCGAGUUGUUUGGGAAUGCAGCUCCAAAUGGGUGGUAAACUCCAUCUAAAGCUAAAUAUUGGCGAGAGACCGAUAGCGAACAAGUACCGUGAGGGAAAGAUGAAAAGCACUUUGGAAAGAGAGUUAAACAGUACGUGAAAUUGCUGAAAGGGAAACGCUUGAAGUCAGUCGCGUUUGCUAGGACUCAGCCUUGUCUCGGCUUGGUGCAUUUCCUAGUGGACGGGCCAGCAUCACUUUUGGCUGCGGGAAAAAGGUCAGAGGAAUGUGGCACCUUCGGGUGUGUUAUAGCCUCUGGCUGCAUACCGUGGCUGGGAGUGAGGAACUCAGCAUGCCUUUAUGGCGGGGCUUCGGCCACCUUCGUGCUUAGGAUGCUGGCGUAAUGGCUUUAAGCGACCCGUCUUGAAACACGGACCAAGGAGUCUAACUUGCCUGCGAGUGUUUGGGUGGAAAACCCGAGCGCGUAAUGAAAGUGAAAGUUGGGACCUCUGUCGUGGAGGGCACCGACGCCCGGACCUGAACUUCGGUGACGGCUCUGCGGUAGAGCAUGCAUGUUGGGACCCGAAAGAUGGUGAACUAUGCCUGAAUAGGGUGAAGCCAGAGGAAACUCUGGUGGAGGCUCGUAGCGAUUCUGACGUGCAAAUCGAUCGUCAAAUUUGGGUAUAGGGGCGAAAGACUAAUCGAACCAUCUAGUAGCUGGUUCCUGCCGAAGUUUCCCUCAGGAUAGCAGAAACUCGUAUCAGAUUUAUGUGGUAAAAGCGAAUGAUUAGAGGCCUUGGGGUUGAAACAACCUUAACCUAUUCUCAAACUUUAAAUAUGUAAGAACAACCCGUCACUUGAUUGGACCGGUUGGCGAUUGAGAGUUUCUAGUGGGCCAUUUUUGGUAAGCAGAACUGGCGAUGCGGGAUGAACCGAACGCGAGGUUAAGGUGCC